This 429-nucleotide ribosomal RNA is filed under the name Chloroflexota bacterium. RNAcentral describes it as "Chloroflexi bacterium partial 16S ribosomal RNA". It matches the Rfam family "Bacterial small subunit ribosomal RNA", at positions 355 to 776 of the family's 1533-position model. Lineage: Bacteria; Bacillati; Chloroflexota. The record is from RNAcentral.
UGGGGAAUAUUGCACAAUGGGCGCAAGCCUGAUGCAGCCAUGCCGCGUGUGUGAAGAAGGCCUUCGGGUUGUAAAGCACUUUCAGCGGGGAGGAAGGCGGUGAGGUUAAUAACCUCAUCGAUUGACGUUACCCGCAGAAGAAGCACCGGCUAACUCCGUGCCAGCAGCCGCGGUAAUACGGAGGGUGCAAGCGUUAAUCGGAAUUACUGGGCGUAAAGCGCACGCAGGCGGUCUGUCAAGUCGGAUGUGAAAUCCCCGGGCUCAACCUGGGAACUGCAUUCGGAACUGGCAGGCUAGAGUCUUGUAGAGGGGGGUAGAAUUCCAGGUGUAGCGGUGAAAUGCGUAGAGAUCUGGAGGAAUACCGGUGGCGAAGGCGGCCCCCUGGACAAAGACUGACGCUCAGGUGCGAAAGCGUGAGGAGCAAACAGG